GGUUAGUUUUAUGUGCCAGGAAAACUGGGCUAAGGAAUGUCCAGGUAGCUGAUAAAACAUUAUUUCUGGGUGUGUCUGUGAGGAUAUUUUUGGAGGAGAUUAGCAUUUGAAUCCCAUGACUGAGGAAAGAAGAUCUGUCCACACCACUCUGAACAGGCAUCAUCCAAUCCUUUGAGAGCCCCAGUAGGACAAAAAGGCAAAGGAAGGAUCACUGAGUAAACCUGCAUCACGCAGUUUCACACAUGGACCCACCACCCAUCUGCUUCUUUGAAAUCACGGUCAACAGGACAGACAAAAUUAAAACUUCGAGUUCUGAUGAUGGCACACUUCCUCAGCAUUGCCUCUGGUUUGAGAUCACAUUCCCUCUGCAGAGGACAAAUCCCAAGUACAAGUCCAGGGUUUCUUCACCAGAUGCAAGAACUUCCCCAUGACGACGUGAUAUCCCAGUAAAUUAUACCAGGUUCAGGAAAGCAAUCCUAUGGGCUCUCUCAUCUGCUCCAAAAAUAAAUGUCAUCAAGUCAGUAUUUAAGAGCAUGAAGUGGUCUCUGAAUGGCUACAUCCUGACAUCCAGCUUGUUUCGGAGAACAAUCUGGGAUGAGGUCUUCCCGAGAAGCUACCCAUGCAAGUGGUAACUUCCCCCACACCUGCCAUUUAAAGAAUCUUUCAUCUCCACAACAAAAGCACAGAUAAAUGCUCUGCUGCUGAAACGUCACAAGAGGAGGAAACCAGAAUUCCCUGCUAGACAUAAUGACUUGGAGGAAACAGAGCACAAAGAAAGGCAGAUGGAGACGUGAAAUUAUUACAGAAAAGAGAGCUGAGAUCAAAAAAUCGGUAGGGGAGCCUGAGAUCAUGGGAGCCAGAAGAAUGGAUGGAUUCACAGAGCAGGAUUCACGGAUACUAAGAAUUAAUGGAUAGUAAAGAAGAAGACACACUUGGAAGAAAGAGCACAGCUUCUUCAAGGAAGGAGUCUUGACCUUUUUUUCAUCCGCAAUGGCCAUGAUGGAGAAGUACACAAAAUGGUAAAGGAUGACAAUUGAUACUGAAGCUUUGGUCUAAAUCAAUAAACAAGAGUGUGCAGGGCAAGACCCUGAGCUGGCAGUCAGGAGAGAAGGGGGUUCAGGAAAGUGGGGGGGGGGUGCCAACCACGGGGACUCCCGGCCCUAAAACUCCACAGGAUUCUGUUCACCUCAAGGCGUGGUGCUGUGGAUAACUUCAGUCGUUCUUCUUUGCAUUAUUUUUAUUUUCCAGUAUUCCCUAAUUAGAAUGUUUAACUUUGUUAAAGUACGGGGGAAACUAUUCUAGAAGCUUAUAAGACAUCUGUCUACAGGGAUAGGCUUCAUUUUAACAAUUUUCAAGGAAAAUGUAGAUGCUUUGGACUACUUCUAUAGGUAUUUAUAGAUAUAGGUAUAUUCUAUUUAAGAGGAAUUUACAUAUCACCUUUAUGGAGGAAAAUCAAAUGCAUGCCAAUUAUCUUUUAUUUCUACUUUUAAUAUAGAAGAUGCCUACAGCAACAAACUACUUUAAAUUUUUUUCUAUCUAACUAUCUACAUAUAUAUGCCUAGGUCCUUGCCAUAAAUUCUAAAAAUACUCAGACACCUCAUUUAUUUAGUCAGUGGAUACUGAAUGCAUUGGGGAACGCAUUGGUAAGGAAAAAUAAAAAAUAUGUACCCUCUCUGUGGAGAAAAGGGAACCCUCCUACACUGUUGGUGGGAAUGUAACUUGGUGCAGCCA
Long non-coding RNA from Aethalodelphis obliquidens (Pacific white-sided dolphin), 1731 nucleotides. RefSeq lists it as uncharacterized. The record is from RefSeq and is a predicted model, not a curated record. Lineage: Eukaryota; Metazoa; Chordata; Mammalia; Artiodactyla; Delphinidae. The transcript is spliced from 6 exons.